Daphnia pulicaria is the source of this 2918-nucleotide long non-coding RNA. RefSeq lists it as uncharacterized. The transcript has 19 exons. The record is from RefSeq and is a predicted model, not a curated record. NCBI's taxonomy places the organism in Eukaryota, Metazoa, Arthropoda, Branchiopoda, Diplostraca, Daphniidae.
UGCCAACGUUUCAACCAUCGGCAUCAAGGAAUUGAUGUGACUUCGUGGACCCAGCGGAGAUAAAACAAGGAUGCGCGCUGCCAUACAUGUCGUCUUCAAUUGGAAACUAAAGCGCGUGCUAUGGGGUUGAUGCACAAGGAUUAAAGCCACUAUGCUGUUCUCUUGUUUAGGCAUAUUUCUGGGGCGAAAACAAGAAAAUGUAUGAAAGAUGGUAGAAUCUAUUUUUAUAGAUUUUAAUGGCUUUUGGAUUUGGGCGCGCGCGCGCCUCGAGAAUUCUCACUCACUAGAUUCUUAACGAUUUACUCGCUAGAUGACUCUAUAUUUUACUCACGAAAAUUUUGAACGCCGCGCGUCCGCGCCAUGAUAUCCUGCCAAUGAUUACAAACUACUAUAUUGGCUGCUUGAUUCUGUUGCUAAGGUUAUGCCUUUGAAAGUCACGAACAACAUUGUUGCUGAUAUCACUAUCAGAAAUAGCCAGACGUCCAGCAAAUGAUUUUUGUAGAAAGGCAAAUUUUUCGAUGCAGAAUGCAAAUGUUUCCCGCCGUGGCGUAAGAUGUGCUCCACCCAGUAAACUCCUAUUUCUCUACCGGGCAUCAGUUGAUGUUGCAUCAGCUUGGAAAGGCGCGUUGCAUUUCCCUGGUAGCUGCAAUGCAUGAGGGGAAAAUGGCGUGACAACCGUUACCUGGUGUCCCUUCUCGGCUAGUGCCUCUACGAUUGGCAUGAAAGAAAUUUUGUGACUUUUGGAACAAGCCGGAGCCAACACUAAAAUACGAUCUGCGUGGCUUAAGACCAGACAUUGGCCCAAUAAAACAACGAACGUUAUCGAUCAAAAUACUGCUUGAUUUUUCCCACUUCCAAAAGACCUGCUGUGGAAUUCGUGCAAAGACGUCGACAAACAUUUUGACCAAUUUCUCCGGCAUCGAAGACACCGGUAUAGCAGAUCCCAAUGUGAAGACGAUGAACCCAUCAUCCGCUGCGUCCGCCAAUGCUUGUCCUUACUUCCGGAAGCGACUUAGCUGGUCUUGUGUGUAGAGCUGGAAUCGGAAUCACAUUUUGAGUUAGCGGUCUCGUCCAAGCCGUUGCCGGAUGACUGUUGAGAAUGCAGAGCUGAGCAUCGCGCUCGAUUUCUAUUAUGGGUCGUGAAUUGGGGAAAUCUUUCCUGGCGAGGUCGUCGAUUGUGUUGAGCCACAACACUUUGCGAAGCAAAAAAAAAAGUUCACCUGCCAUUACGUUUCCUACUCUUUGCAUGAACGUCAUCUGACUACCGCCAUCUCCCAUUCCGACCGGAACGGAGGCGUAUUCCUGGGGAACCUGAAACGCGUCCAUCACCCAAGGUGCAAAUGGCGUUACAACUGUUACCUGAUGACCUUUCUCUGCUAGCACUUCCACGAUCGGCAUGAAAGAAAUUUUGUGGCUUUUGGAACAGACAGGUGCCAGCACCAAUAUCCGCUCUGCGCUGCUGAAGCUGAAUGUCAACCACUGGCUCAUCAAAAUAAUUAAAAUGUUUUGUUCCACCGUGGAGGAGGACGUGUUCUACCCAAUAGGCGGCUACUUCUCUUGAUGGCAUUAGCUCAUUGUGCAUCAGGCUGGACAUGCGAGUCACAUUACCCUUGUAGCUGAAGGUUUUCCCAUUCAAGUUUGAUGGCAUAUCCCUCUUCACUUGAUCGAAUAAGAAGACUAAGAAGAAAAGAAACGAAUUCGGCUCGGCAGCUGGAAAUUAUUUACGUUUAAAGAAAGCAGAAGAAACUUACGCGUAUUGAUCUCUUCCCAGUGGUAAGCCGAGUAUUGGAACUUUGUGUCGAGUGUUUUUGUGGCCUUUUCAAAAAAGAGAUCCUGCUGAGGCAGCCAGUCAACCAACCUGACGUUAUCUGGUAUUUGGGAUAGGCCAUCUUUUUCCCAUUUCCAAAUUAUACGUUGCGGCAGACGAGAAAACACACGGAGAAAUGUUUCCUGGAUGGGAACUGGCAUAGAAGAAACUCGAGAAUUAGAUCCGAGUGUAAAUACAAUUAAUCCAUUUUCUGCUCCAUCGACAAAUUCCUGUAAAUUCUUUAUGAAAAAAAGAAACCUGUGGAAGCGGUUUGGCCGGUCUAACGUGCAUGGCCCCAACAGGAAUGAAUGUCGGCGGAAGGGAACGUGUCCAACUGGAUGCCGGAUGAAUGUUUGCAAAGCAAAUUUCAGCAUUUUUUUCAAUUUCUGAUAUUGGUCGUGCAGUUGGAAAAUCCAGUUUAGCUAGCCGGUCUAAAACCGGUAAGAGAGAAGGUACCGAUUAACGGCGGUAUUCUUGCGUAAUCUUGAGUUACGCCUUUUGCUUCCAAAUUCCAAAUUGUUCCUGGCCCGGGAUCAAAAAGAAUCAAGGGGAUUCCCAGGUGAUCCACUAGUGGAAAACAAAAGUCGUUGAUGAUGGCGUCUACUAUGGCGAUAUCGUAGUUUUUCUUUUGUAUGAUUUCUUGAAUCUCCUUGUUGGCCACGAAUCUCUUAUAUGCAGUUGUCAUAACUGAUUGGACAAAUGGGGAAAAAUCGGCCAUUGUAUCAAAGAGACUGUGCUCCUUGAAAUCGUACCACUCUAACUCGACUAGGUCAACCAUUUCAUCCAUGGUGAUUUUCCGUUUCAACCAUCGGCAUGAAUGAAUGCAUGUGACUUCGUGGACCCAGCGGAGACAAAACCAGGAUGCGUGCAGCCAUACAUGUCGCCGAAAGAUGCUGCCUCAUCCAAUCGUUUGAAUCCAAUGAACUAAGACUCCCCGGCACUUCGAAAGAUAUAGCAGAGAGACGUUCCAAAUCGAGAAGUCGCCAGUACGGUUCAGGAAUGAUAAAAGAUUUCCUGUGAAGAGCGGCGACUGAAAUCCGAUUUCUUGAAUAUUUGGCACAACUCCAAAGUCGUCGAAAAGGAAAUGGAAUUUCAUCUGCAGUCUCCACUA